GUUUGGUCCGAGUGCAGUGGUGUUUACAACUAAUUGAUCACAACCAGUUACAGAUACCUUUGUUCCUUCUGCACUCCCACGGCUUCCCUUGACCAGAAGGAA
RNAcentral lists this Y RNA (102 nucleotides) under Propithecus coquereli (Coquerel's sifaka). Its description in RNAcentral is "Y RNA (ENSPCOG00000003101.1)". It matches the Rfam family "Y RNA". Rfam says of the family: Y RNAs are components of the Ro ribonucleoprotein particle (Ro RNP), in association with Ro60 and La proteins. The Y RNAs and Ro60 and La proteins are well conserved, but the function of the Ro RNP is not known. In humans the RNA component can be one of four small RNAs -- hY1, hY3, hY4 and hY5. The record is from RNAcentral. Lineage: Eukaryota; Metazoa; Chordata; Mammalia; Primates; Indriidae.